GACUCGUUAGUCGAAUAGACGUUAAGUUGCAGCCUUAAAGAUGCAUAAUAAAUUAUUGCACGGGUUU
RNAcentral lists this transfer RNA (67 nucleotides) under Anadara broughtonii. RNAcentral's name for it is "tRNA-Cys". Lineage: Eukaryota; Metazoa; Mollusca; Bivalvia; Arcoida; Arcidae. The record is from RNAcentral.